GCCAAAUCUACAGUGCCCCAGAAGUGGCAAAAAGGAAACUUUUUUGUUUGCCUGCCAUCGUGAGGACUGAGUGAAGGAGGGAUUUUAGCAACAUGUAAUUUACUCUUGGGGCUUUUUACUGUACAUAGCUUUAGAGAUGGUAAUUUCUCCCUUUUUUGUUGUGAAAAGAUAACCAUCAAUCAGUUGUCAAUUGGUCAAUUGCAGAAGUGGUGAAAAGAAAGGGGUUGAACGAUCCCUUCUCUCUGGCUACCCUAGAGGAUUCAGGAGCCCUGGAAAAACAUGGCAGCUGGAGCAGAGCAGGGAGUGGAUCAGUCACACAGGUACAGCAGCCAUGUUGCUAAAGCGCAGAGCUGCCGGGCUGUGGGAGUCAUGAGGCGGCCCUGCUUCACACAAUAUGGGCUCUGGGCUUAGGGGGAGACCACCAUGGAUGUGUCUGCAGGUCUAGGCCCAAAGAGCAGUGCGGGGAAAAGGCUACUACUGGACUCAUACUACAUGGCAGGGUGACCCUCAUUCAACUCACAUCACAUAUGCAAGUUUCAUUCACCAUUUUCUUUGUAUAUGAUUUUGAAUUUCCAGGACAGUGUAGAUUUAUAUUUCUCCCAAAAUGUAUAUGAGGUGGUUGUGUGUGGAUACAUUCAUUUUUCUUCUUUAUUCAGGCUCCUAUGACAUCAUAUGUUUUUGUAAGAAAACUGAUAAUAUCUGUCAUUCGGUGUAACCUCAUAUAAAAAAGUACCCCAUGAAGUAACCUUUUUUUUUAUGUCAAUAGAUAUCUUC
Molecule: long non-coding RNA, 774 nt
Filed under: Oncorhynchus kisutch (coho salmon)
Lineage: Eukaryota; Metazoa; Chordata; Actinopteri; Salmoniformes; Salmonidae
Description: lncRNA (ENSOKIG00005034054.1)
Source: RNAcentral